AUUGAACGCUGGCGGCAGGCCUAACACAUGCAAGUCGAACGGUAACAGGAAGAAGCUUGCUUCUUUGCUGACGAGUGGCGGACGGGUGAGUAAUGUCUGGGAAACUGCCUGAUGGAGGGGGAUAACUACUGGAAACGGUAGCUAAUACCGCAUAACGUCGCAAGACCAAAAAGGGGGACCUUCGGGCCUCUUGCCAUCGGAUGUGCCCAGAUGGGAUUAGCUAGUAGGUGGGGUAACGGCUCACCUAGGCGACGAUCCCUAGCUGGUCUGAGGGGAUGACCAGCCACACUGGAACUGAGACACGGUCCAGACUACUACGGGAGGCAGCAGUGGGGAAUAUUGCACAAUGGGCGCAAGCCUGAUGCAGCCAUGCCGCGUGUAUGAAGAAGGCCUUCGGGUUGUAAAGUACUUUCAGCGGGGAGGAAGGGAGUAAAGUUAAUACCUUUGCUCAUUGACGUUACCCGCAGAAGAAGCACCGGCUAACUCCGUG
This 490-nucleotide ribosomal RNA is filed under the name uncultured bacterium. RNAcentral describes it as "partial 16S ribosomal RNA". It matches the Rfam family "Bacterial small subunit ribosomal RNA", at positions 30 to 507 of the family's 1533-position model. The record is from RNAcentral.